Molecule: small nucleolar RNA, 182 nt
Filed under: Lachancea thermotolerans CBS 6340
Lineage: Eukaryota; Fungi; Ascomycota; Saccharomycetes; Saccharomycetales; Saccharomycetaceae
Source: RNAcentral
GUGCCCUGUGCCUCGCUCGGCCUUGUUUCUCUAUGGCUAGGUCUUGAGCUGGAUAAUUCUAUGCGCUUCGCGCUGCAUACAAUUAAUGGGCUAUAGCGAAUUUGAGACUUCUUUUGAGUACGAGUUCACCUGUGGCUUAUUGCUACGCGUGGUUAACAUCGUAAUUGGAACGUCCAAUAUCU